AGGGUUUGAUCAUGGCUCAGAAUCAACGCUGGCGGCGUGCCUAACACAUGCAAGUCGAGCGAGAAAGGGAGCUUCGGUUCCUGAGUAAAGCGGCGGACGGGUGAGUAACACGUGGGUAAUCUACCCUCGGGUGGGGAAUAACUCAGGGAAACCUGGGCUAAUUCCGCAUGAUACUUUCGAUACAUACGUAUUGAGAAUCAAAGCUGGGGACCCUUCGGGGCCUGGCGCCUGAGGAGGAGCCCGCGGCCAAUUAGCUUGAUGGUGAGGUAACGGCUCACCAUGGCUACGAUUGGUAGCCGGCCUGAGAGGGCGGACGGUCACACUGGGACUGAGACACGGCCCAGACUCCUACGGGAGGCAGCAGUGGGGAAUUUUUGUCAAUGGGGGAAACCCUGAACAAGCAACGCCGCGUGAAGGACGAAGACCUUCGGGUUGUAAACUUCUGUCGGAGGGGACGAAAGCAGUGGUGGUCAAUAGCCAUGAUUGUUGACGGUACCCUAUGAGGAAGCCCCGGCUAACUCCGUGCCAGCAGCCGCGGUAAUACGGGGGGGGCAAGCGUUGUUCGGAAUUACUGGGCGUAAAGGGCGCGCAGGCGGGCGGGAAAGUCUCUCGUGAAAGCCCACGGCUCAACCGUGGAAUUGCGGGAGAUACUACUCGUCUUGAGUCCGGGAGAGGAGUGUGGAAUUCCCAGUGUUAGCGGUGAAAUGCGUAGAUAUUGGGAGGAACACCGGUGGCGAAGGCGGCACUCUGGACCGGUACUGACGCUGAGGCGCGAAAGCUAGGGGAGCAAACGGGAUU
This 798-nucleotide ribosomal RNA is filed under the name uncultured bacterium. RNAcentral describes it as "bacterial SSU rRNA". It matches the Rfam family "Bacterial small subunit ribosomal RNA", at positions 8 to 779 of the family's 1533-position model. The record is from RNAcentral.